AUACUUACCUGGCAGGGGAGAUACCGUGAUCGCGACGGUGGUUUUCCCAGGGCGAGGCUUAUCCAUUGCACUCUGGAUGUGCUGACCUCUGUGACUUCCCCAAAUGUGGGAAACUUGACUGCACAAUUCCUGGUAGUGGGGGACUGUGUUCACACUCUCCCCUA
This is a small nuclear RNA of Otolemur garnettii (small-eared galago), 164 nucleotides long. Its record names the gene U1. It matches the Rfam family "U1 spliceosomal RNA". From Rfam's summary of the family: U1 is a small nuclear RNA (snRNA) component of the spliceosome (involved in pre-mRNA splicing). Its 5' end forms complementary base pairs with the 5' splice junction, thus defining the 5' donor site of an intron. There are significant differences in sequence and secondary structure between metazoan and yeast U1 snRNAs, the latter being much longer (568 nucleotides as compared to 164 nucleotides in human). NCBI's taxonomy places the organism in Eukaryota, Metazoa, Chordata, Mammalia, Primates, Galagidae. The record is from Ensembl.